AUACGGAGGGUGCAAGCGUUGUUCGGAAUUACUGGGCGUAAAGCGCGCGUAGGCGGUCUGUUAUGUCAGAUGUGAAAGUCCUCGGCUCAACCGGGGAAGUGCAUUUGAAACUGGCAGACUUGAGUACUGGAGGGGGUGGUGGAAUUCCCGGUGUAGAGGUGAAAUUCGUAGAUAUCGGGAGGAAUACCGGUGGCGAAGGCGACCACCUGGCCAGAUACUGACGCUGAGGUGCGAAAGCGUGGGGAGCAAACAGUAUUAGAUACCCGAGUAGUCC
RNAcentral lists this ribosomal RNA (274 nucleotides) under uncultured bacterium. Its description in RNAcentral is "partial 16S ribosomal RNA". It matches the Rfam family "Bacterial small subunit ribosomal RNA", at positions 523 to 796 of the family's 1533-position model. The record is from RNAcentral.